GCGGAAGUAGUUCAGUGGUAGAACACCAGCUUCCCAAGCUGGAUGUCGCGGGUUCAAGUCCCGUUUUCCGCUCCA
RNAcentral lists this transfer RNA (75 nucleotides) under Clostridium luticellarii. Its description in RNAcentral is "tRNA-Gly". It matches the Rfam family "tRNA". From Rfam's summary of the family: Transfer RNA (tRNA) molecules are approximately 80 nucleotides in length. The record is from RNAcentral. Lineage: Bacteria; Bacillati; Bacillota; Clostridia; Eubacteriales; Clostridiaceae.